This is a non-coding RNA of Paramormyrops kingsleyae, 1944 nucleotides long. Lineage: Eukaryota; Metazoa; Chordata; Actinopteri; Osteoglossiformes; Mormyridae. The record is from RefSeq and is a predicted model, not a curated record.
AAUUAAGUGUGUACGAGCGGGUAUUGGAGAUGGAUGGAUGAUCAGUUGGACGAUCGAUUAUUGCUUAAUAUAUUCCAUUCUGACGUUUGCUUUCUAUUUAAAAUCCAAAUGAUCAUUUCAAAAACGAAGUGUAAAGCUGUUUCAAACGUCUGAAUGUUGUUAGUGCCUCACACAAGCGUGUGGCAGCAUAAAAUACACUUGUUAAAAAUAUGAGAUACAAUAAUCAUACAAAAUAACUAAGUAACCUCAUAUCAUACCGAGCAUGUAAAAGUUAAGCAGCUGAAGACGCAAUUAGUAUAUAUUCUAUUAAAUAUAAUAAAAUGUAUUAUAUUACACUCAUAACACACGAGACUCAGCCCCAAAGUUUUAGUAGUUGAAAGAAAUUGCUGGAUUAGCUCGCACUAUAUUUUACCAACAUUGCAGUCGCCUAACCAUAAAUCGUUUAAAUCAAAAGAACAUUUGUGGCAAUUAUGACGGUAAUGCGAUGCAUUACCACGUCGCCACAGAGGCUUAAACAGUCGUGUUAAGAGAGGAGCAAAGCGCAUUAGUUUAAUAGCGUAAUAUGCAAACUACGGGCCGACCAAUUACGUGGCUUAAUAGCGCAUAAACGAUCGGAAUCUCCUUAUUUGGCCUACGAGGUCUGCGCUAAUUCGCCACGCGACCUGCAUUCACUUACAGUCAAGUCGCCGUCCCCCGGUUCAAAAGCCAGUGCCAGACUACUUUUAAAUGAAUACAAAUUAAUGACGCAGAAUCUGAGCGUUAAAUUAACCGUAAUUAUAUGAGUCGCAUGCUGUAAAGACAAUUUUGGAUGUUUUAAUCAGGUUACUGACUCGCCGGGCAUAGAGGACGCUAACUUCUCUGAAAUUUACAUGCAAGAGCACGGUCAUGUUGAAGAAGACUUCACUUCGGACCACUAUAUGUUUAUUUCCCUAAAAAUUAUAUAGUUUUGGCGUUAAUAGAAAUUUAAUCCAGGCAUUUCUCUGUGUAAAAUCAGUGAUUGUGCAUUAGUAGGUUUGCACCGUCGUUUAACGGUGUCAGAAGUAGGGCUAGGGUGCAGACUGGAUUUUCACGUGAGCAGAAAAGAAGUCCUUCUUAACCCAGUCGCUGCCAAAACUAGUUUUGGACUGUGACCAAAUUAGAACUUGAAAUAGGCUCCUCUUUGUCCGUUAGGGAGUUUGGUGGGACUUCAUCUAAGAAACAGGACAAGUGUUUCUGUGUUUAGUGUCCUUCACCACUGACACUCACAUUUCUGGUUCUACAUUCUGUCAGUGUACCUAUUGUCGCCUUAGUUUUCUUGCAGUCGUUACUGGAUACUCAUCGGAAUAAAUAUAUAUAAGUGUGAACAAAUCAUUGAGCAUCACUGUGGUCCUCAGGUCUUGGCCUCUACCAUGGAAAAGCUUCAGGGUACAGUUGGGGAUUAUUGACCUGUCCACGGUGCACAAUAACUGCCCUGCCACUGUGUUCUGAAGCUUCAAGGUUUCUCUAACCAUUACUUCAGGACUCUUUUUUUUUAGAAAGCUGGUUCACAUUGCUGUGAUAAAACAGUCCCUGGAAUCACCUGCUGUGAAAUUCUCAGAAUCCUCAUAUAAUGGAGAACAGCUCGUCUGACCAGACCAAAGAGAGCGCUGGACACCACAUACUGACCCUCUAACAUGGUACAUUAUCAUCUUCAUCCUGCGAAGCUCACGGCUUUGUGAUCUGCCCUGCUGGUCUCCCUCAGAAGAGCCUCACACGUCCUGGAACCUCUGAGAUGCUGCUUCCUUUAUGUUGUCCACGGGGCGGAAUCUCUGCCUUUAUUCAAAUCCAGCAGAAGAGACCCCAAGGCCACAUCAGCCCGACGGCACUGAGGGGUCAUGGGACACUCACUCAGAGGCACGGGAUGCGGAAACCGGCAGUGUCGGUACCACGGGGGAGGCACUGAGGAGGGCUACCCCCCCCCCCCCC